CCUACGGGGGGCAGCAGUGAGGAAUAUUGGUCAAUGGACGAGAGUCUGAACCAGCCAAGUAGCGUGAAGGAUGACUGCCCUAUGGGUUGUAAACUUCUUUUAUAUGGGAAUAAAAUGUUCCACGUGUGGGAUUUUGUAUGUACCAUAUGAAUAAGGAUCGGCUAACUCCGUGCCAGCAGCCGCGGUAAUACGGAGGAUCCGAGCGUUAUCCGGAUUUAUUGGGUUUAAAGGGAGCGUAGGUGGAUUGUUAAGUCAGUUGUGAAAGUUUGCGGCUCAACCGUAAAAUUGCAGUUGAAACUGGCAGUCUUGAGUACAGUAGAGGUGGGCGGAAUUCGUGGUGUAGCGGUGAAAUGCGUAGAUAUCACGAAGAACUCCGAUUGCGAAGGCAGUUCACUGGACUGCAACUGACACUGAGGCUCGAAAGUGUGGGUAUCAAACAGGAUUAGAUACCCGUGUAGUC
This 460-nucleotide ribosomal RNA is filed under the name uncultured bacterium. Its description in RNAcentral is "partial 16S ribosomal RNA". It matches the Rfam family "Bacterial small subunit ribosomal RNA", at positions 338 to 795 of the family's 1533-position model. The record is from RNAcentral.